RNAcentral lists this long non-coding RNA (1339 nucleotides) under Salvator merianae (Argentine black and white tegu). RNAcentral describes it as "lncRNA (ENSSMRG00000020964.1)". The record is from RNAcentral. Lineage: Eukaryota; Metazoa; Chordata; Lepidosauria; Squamata; Teiidae.
GGGGAAAAUGCUGAAAAUGGAUGUUUGAUGGAAGGGAAUCAGAAGGAUGCAAUAAUCAGUUCUGCUUCUGUUGGAGAGCAAGAAAAGAAAAGAAAGACCUCAACCCUCUUCCUUUGGAUGGAUUAUUCAGCCCAUUAAUAUUGUAUGAAAUAAUCAUUUACUGCACAUUAAUGUCCUAUAUACCAAGUCAACUGCUGAGAACACUGAAGGAUGUGCCAGAAGACUCCUGGACAUUGCUCUUGGACUUUGGGAUCACAGCUGGAAAAUUUUCAUUUCCAUGUUGCAAUUUUGAUGCCUGAGGUGGUGGCCAUCAAGCACAGGAAAGUAUCCCGUUGCCCUUUUCUCGUGUUUGUUGAUUCUUUACAGGUUGCUGAGGAAAUAGGUCUCUGCGAGAAGCAGCUAUGGUGGUAGCAGCAGCAGCAGAGCCAUCAACAGCAAGAGCUCUGAGAACUCUUCCUCACACUCUGCCAUAUGGCGGCUGUAUGGCAGAACGAAUGCAGGUCCAUGUAGACGUUGUCUUCAUCCAGUGCCCCCUUGUCAUGCAUUCACAGUGCCAUAAAACAGUGUACAGAUUUUGCCCUUGUCAAGUUGUUUUGCUGUUGUUAACAUCUUAUUGUAACAGAUUCCAGAAUUUGUGUGCUCUGUGAAAAAGGGUUUUUUGUCCUGAAAUUUCCAUUCCCUGACCUUCUCAACUAGUUUGUGUAAUUCUAUACACUUCUACUAUUUUUUCACCCUCUCCCCGUUAUUCCAAACUGAGAACUUGCUCCAGAGCCUUGAUGAGUUUGGUAGUGGCUUUUGAUAACUUUCCUAAUUGGAGCUGUGGUAGCCAGAAAUGUACCCGUUCUAGAUCUCUGUAGCAUCCUCAUCUUUGGCUCCACGUUUACAGCUUUAGUUUUGCUGCUGAUGGAAGAUGUUUGAAAGACAAAGCCUGGCAAACCAUUUCAGCAGUCUAUUUAACAGAAUGUUUUAUGAGUGUUUCUGGAAUUUAGGAUAGAAAUGUGCACAGAUGGUGUUGAUAAUAUAAAUCAGACAAGUUGUUUUCCCUAAAGGCUAUGCAAGCAGUAUACAGUAGGCUUGUAUGAUGAUGUUUGGGUCAUGUUAACUGGAACGACAAUCAAAACUUGGAAAAAUAUAAAAUCAUAAGGCUGUUUUCCAUAGCCAUAUGGUGUGGAAUUUUUCAAAUACUUUCCAGAGGUGUAGUUGUGUUCCACCAGAGCCAAACAAACAAAAUCAUGUGAAAUGUUUAUCAUUGAGUAGGUUUUUGUGGGCCAGAGACCAUCUUGUCAGUUGUGUUUUAAGAGAAUGUUGAUUCUUACUUUCUUGUAAAGGAAGAAUAAAA